RNAcentral lists this ribosomal RNA (478 nucleotides) under uncultured bacterium. Its description in RNAcentral is "partial 16S ribosomal RNA". It matches the Rfam family "Bacterial small subunit ribosomal RNA", at positions 28 to 523 of the family's 1533-position model. The record is from RNAcentral.
GACGAACGCUGGCGGCGUGCUUAACACAUGCAAGUCGAACGGUAAGGCCCUUCGGGGUACACGAGUGGCGAACGGGUGAGUAACACGUGGGUGAUCUGCCCUGCACUUCGGGAUAAGCCUGGGAAACUGGGUCUAAUACCGGAUAGGACCACUGCCGGCAUGGGUGGUGGGGGAAAGCUUUUGCGGUGUGGGAUGGGCCCGCGGCCUAUCAGCUUGUUGGUGGGGUGAUGGCCUACCAAGGCGACGACGGGUAGCCGGCCUGAGAGGGUGACCGGCCACACUGGGACUGAGAUACGGCCCAGGCUCCUACGGGAGGCAGCAGUGGGGAAUAUUGCACAAUGGGCGCAAGCCUGAUGCAGCGACGCCGCGUGAGGGAUGACGGCCUUCGGGUUGUAAACCUCUUUCAGCACCGACGAAGCGCAAGUGACGGUAGGUGCAGAAGAAGGACCGGCCAACUACGUGCCAGCAGCCGCCGUAA